Molecule: ribosomal RNA, 468 nt
Filed under: uncultured bacterium
Lineage: Bacteria
Description: bacterial SSU rRNA
Rfam family: Bacterial small subunit ribosomal RNA
Source: RNAcentral
GAACGAACGCUGGCGGCGCGUCUUAAACAUGCAAGUCGAACGAUCUGUAGCAAUACAGGGAGUGGCGGACGGGUGAGGAACACGUAGGAAUCUACCUUGAAGAGCGGGACAACUUUGGGGAAACCGGGGCUAAUACCGCAUAGUACAGAGAUGUUAAAGGGCUAGCAAUAGUCGCUUCGAGAUGAGCCUGCGGUCUAUCAGCUUGUUGGUGAGGUAAUGGCUCACCAAGGCUACGACGGAUAGCCGGUCUGAGAGGAUGAUCGGCCACACUGGCACUGAGACACGGGCCAGACUCCUACGGGAGGCAGCAGUUAAGAAUCUUGCGCAAUGGGGGAAACCCUGACGCAGCGACGCCGCGUGAAGGAUGAAGGCUUUCGGGUUGUAAACUUCGGUAGACUGGGAAGAAGAAAUACGUUCGUUGAGGGCGUAUAGUGACGGUACCAGUCUGAAGCCCCGGCUAAUUACGUG